Molecule: long non-coding RNA, 6208 nt
Organism: Neofelis nebulosa (Clouded leopard)
Lineage: Eukaryota; Metazoa; Chordata; Mammalia; Carnivora; Felidae
Exons: 3
Source: RefSeq, a predicted model, not a curated record
CACGCGUCUGUAAUCACAGACGCCCACCUCGCGUCUCCACCCUGUCCUGUAGCAGCAUGGGGACUGUCACUGUCGCACUGUUGCCACAGACCCUUUGGGGAAUGGGAAGGGCUAGGACAAACAUGUUGGUACUCCUUGGUCCAGAAUAUAUUUCUUAAGCAGCCUACUAAGUGUCUGACCUGAGGCUGACCUACGUGAGGAAGGGGCUCCUUGAGGAGGCAAAGAGUGCUCUAGUCACAACUUUGAACUUGGCGCUGGCUUUUGCUGCUUCGGCCAGGGGGCCAGCAUGAUGGGUGGGUAGAGCCACACUUCACACACUGGUGAUGACAAGACAGCCACCCGUGGCUCUCCCCGUGACAAGGGGGCCGGGGGGGUGGGGGGGGGUGGGGAGGCAGCGCCCUCGUCGUUUCCUCCCACCCAGAGGCCAGGCUCCAGUGUGGGCAGACACAGCGGGACAGAGUUGCUUUUAUGGGAAAGCGCGUUUGAGCUUCAAGUUCUUUUAAGAGCCGUAAGGCCACUUUGGGUUUUAUUUGGCGGUUAGUUAUUUUUACUUAUAUUUACCUAUUUGGGAAUAAAGGGCUGAAUCAGUCCUCUUAACAAGCCAGGAUUCCAACUUGCGGUUAUGUGUAUAAAUAGAAAACCGAGGCUUUCCAGAAGUAAGGCUCCCCGAAACCAGUUUUGUUGACAAAGGGGACGUACUGUCAACCAGCGGUCUGAGCAUCUCGAGGCAUCUGGGAUUCCUGAGUCCCAGACACGCCCCCAGGGCGAUCCAGCUUUAACCCUCCUGCACCAAGGAUGCUGAAAGGAGCCAGGCAGCCAGUGUGUCCAGGAGUCCGCACCGCAGCACAGCCCCCGGCCAGCCACCGUCUGGUCAAGUCAUUAGCCUGCCGUAGCCUCUGCCUCGUCCUCUACGGUGAGGGAGUUGGCCCACGGGAUCUACUAACAGUCGACACGCAAAGCCACGAACGUUGAAUUUGCAAACGCAGAAGUAAUAGAGAUUGGAAUCCUGGCUAAGACCACGAAUUCCUAGAAGCCGAGCUCAUGUCCUUGCUCUUUUCGCUCAACACAUUUAUGCGUUCGUCCGUGAACAUUGGUCCGGCACCCCCUGUGGCCGGGGCCCCUGUGGGGCCACCGUGGAGUGAGUGACAUUCGUCAGUCAGACGAGUCCGUCACCUGUGCAGAAGCUUACGCUCCGUGGGGGUGUGGGAGUGGGGAGGGGAGACAGAUCUUAAUAGAAGAAAUCUGAUCAUUCUGGAGAAUGAUUCUCGCCGGGAAGACAAUAAAACAGGGUAGUGUGAUCGUGUGAAAGGCUGGGGGGAACGUGACCAAGUUUAAAUAGUAAUGACAACAUUUAUCGAGUGCUUACUGUCCUAAGCACUUUCCCUGUGUUUCAGGUCAGAGGAGGUAUGACCGCUGCUCUCAUUUUACAGACGAGUAAAGAGAAGCCGGGACUCUGAAGACAUCCCUGAGAGCCAACAACACACAGAGGCUAUAUUCAGGGUUCAAGUUCCGGUGGCAAUGGCUGUGUGUAAUCAGUUUCAAUCCGGUGUUCCCUCUGAUAAAGGACUGACUAGGGCACAGUAGAAGAAAGCCUGGACGCUUAGGGCUGAUUUACUGACAGGGUAGUACUUGAGCUGGGGUUUUGAGGGAUGAAUAGAAGUUCUUACAGAACGUCUCACUAUAGUGGUCGUUGGUCUGUGGUGCCGUAGACAUUGCAGUCUUUUCAGUAGAGCACGUCAUUCUUUGUUAUUCCUUUGUUAUGACACCUGCCUAUAUCAUAAAGCCCUGAUUUUGAGUUCUUUAAGGUAAGGAAUUCUAAAUCUUCCAAAUUAACUCACAUUUUACCCCUAGUUUAUGAUUUCAACACGGAUGAUGACAUCCCUGGACACAUUCUGAGGGCAGGCUGUAUUUUUCCGGGCUGUGCUUUUAAGCCUUGACUUCCGUAAGCUCGUCUCUCCCGCUCUGAGUCUCGGGUUCCUCAAACAUAAGGUGGGGGGUUCAGCCGCACCAGCAAAUGUGAGUUAGAAUCACAACAAAAUCAGCAUCUCGGGGAGCUGAGAGGCCCAGGCAAGGAACCGCGGGAGUGGAAACUGUCCCCUGCCGUGUGUGCCGCGGAAGGCCCGGGGGGGCCGGGGGCCCCCUUCCCAGCUCAGCCAGAGCUGUUCCCGUUUUAUCUGUUUUAUUUAUUGAGCUUUCUUACAACAUCGCGUGGGAAGAAAGGGCUCCACUGCCAAAAACUAAUGUUGGAGAACCACUGGGACACAAGCCUGCUAGGACCCUGCGACUGGCCGUCUGUGGUUCUCUGUGGGGUUCUCCCCCCACGGUCUGGAUCUCGGUACCGUUUCCGCACUCUGUAAAGCGGCCGCCGUCCAGCCCAGCUCUGGCUACCUUUUCGCUGAUAGGUGAGCUAAUCCCCAAACGCGGCAGCAGCGGCCUUACAGCGAGGGUUUCUAUUACCUCGUUAUGAAUUACGGUGGAGUGCCCUGGUGAAGGGUCGAAGGUAUUUGAGAUCCUUUGGGAGCAAAUGCUAGAUAUUACUAAAACGAGACUCCAUUUAAUAGGUGAUAAAUCUUGAUAUUGUAAGUUUAAUAUAGUUUGAUGGUUGUAAAUCCAGUGAAUCUACUGUAGGAAUUUGCUGUACGUUGCGUUUAUGAAAUAUUUAGUCAGGUGUUUUUAAAGGUACGGCUUUUCUCAUAAGGUACUAAUUUUUAUGGGCUCAGCAAGAAAAUUUCAUACUGGUGUCACCCAUGCUGCCGUUUGUGGGACUUGGAAAUGAAAAAGGAAAAGGCACCGCGGGCUCUUGCUUUUUGUAUUCUAGGAAAGCUCUCCGAACAUUUGGCAGUAAUAGCCAAAUCAAGAAGUAGAUAUUAGUGUAUUUAAGACUAUACUUUAGGAUUAGAAAACGAUAAGACACAAACCACUUAAAAAUAAGCAUACAUUUGAUGUUUAGACCGCAAACACUAGAAAGGAGCAUACGUGUGGGGUUGAAAUACGGCCGCAGUGUGGAUGUUGGGGCGAGCCUACUGGGUUGAUGGCCACGAGGCCUUGAGUACAUCGUAAGCCAUGUGGACUUGUUUUCUAUUGCUGGGCAACAGGUUCACAUAAAUUCGAUGGGUCAAAACAGUACACAUUUGUUACCCCUCAGGCUUCUGUGGGUCAGGAGUCUAGGCACAGCUUAGCUGGGUUCCCUGCUUAGGGCUUCACAAGGUCGUGACGAUCAAGGUGUUGCCUGGGCCGUGGUCUCAUCUGGCCUGGGAUCCUUCCAAGUUCACAUGGUUUUUGGCAGGAUUCACGUCUUGCAGGUGCAGAACUUCCGGAAGCUUUCUUCUUCAAGGCUGGUAGGAGAGCUGCCCUCCCCCCCCCACCCCCAGUCUCUUUUCAGGGAAGGCUUGGAUCCUUUUUUUUUUUUUUUUUUUUUUUUUUUUGAGUUCACCCGAUUAGGUCAGGCCCACCAAGGAUGAUGCCCACUUUGAUUAAUUUAAGGUCAACUGAUUAGGGUCCUUAAUUACAUCUGCAAAAUAAUUUCUCCUUGAUCGUAUACCAUAACGUAUGACAGUGACAUCCCGUCAUAUUGCCCACACUCAAGGGGAGGGUGUUAUUUACAGCUUACACACCAGGGGAUGGGAGUCUUAGGGGCCAUCUGAGAAUUCUGCCUGCCAUACCACAGAUGUGACCUUCCGCAAGUUUCUGUACCUCUUGGCGCUUCCCCUUUGAGGGCUGUCAAACGGGGGUGGUGAUUCCUACGUGUCUUGGAAGGAUCUCGGUGGCCUCCGUGAGAGAACGUGGAGUAAGCUGGGGAGCCUCAGGUGCUGUGUGCCAGGUGCCACGGGCAGGCAGGAGGGGCCAGGUGUGGGGGUGCCACUAAUGCCACGGUUCUGCUUCGGCUGACGACACCUCAACAACUCUGUGACUUACCAUAGAAGGGCCAUUCGGUGGGACGGGUUCUCCCCUCCUCCCUGCCUACCCCCUGGCUUCCCGGCACCCCUCCCCCAAACGGUCCCCGUCGGUCACCUUCCAUUUCUCAACCGACGUGACCCCGGCCGGAGGCAGAUAGGGGAAGACACGUUUUUUACGCAGUUGCCGUGGGUCUCCGGCAAGCUAUCGGUCAAACACUGUUUGGAGCACAGAUAACUGCUUUUGCCAUUGUAACCAAAGGCGCACUCCCCGCAGCAGCCGUAAUUACAAAGGCAGGGAAGUGGAGGGAAAAUCCAUCUCAUUUAAAAGUGUUUUAGUGUCAGCAAACACAUUGCGAUGCCAUUAAGAAAGUUUUCGUUAAGGACACGUUGGACUUGAGGUUUUUAAUUUGUUUGAAGUGUUUUGCUAAAACAGAAUUAUGUUGGAGUUUACAUAAAAGUAGAGACUGACAUGAAAAGUUUUAACUUAAGCAGCAAAAUAUAAAGGCUAAUCUUAUUUAAAAGUAAUAUGUAUGUCUUGAUUGAGUGCCCAGAUACGCUCAGCUGGGACUUUUUAGUGGAAUCGGGUCUAAGCUGUUACACUGAGUUAUACCGAGAAGGUUUUCCUGAGCUUAUAUUGCCAGACCUGAAAUACUCUUGUGGCUGCAUUUAAUAAAGAAACGAAAGUCUUGAGUAAGGGGAUAUGAUUUUUUAUGACAGAAGGAAUGCAAAUAACUUUUAGUCUCAUUGCCUUGACCGGGUUCGGUUUGAUUUGAUGGAGUUUAAUAAUGACUUAUAACCUGUGCUGACAAUAUGCAGGCCCGCACAACGUCAUUUAACUCAUUUAUUCUGCUUGCUGUAAAAACAAAGAGAUGGCAAAUAAAUAUAUGGAACGUUCAUUGUUUGUCAGAGGGCCCAAGCCAAGAGUUUUCAGUGACCUUUUAAAAUAUGGUCCCAGGCUAGUACUAAAAUGCCUGUCACUCAGCACACACACUUGACCUUCUAACCUGUGCAUCUUGUGUUUUUUUCUCUUUCAAAUGGGCGUAUGCAUUUCCAAUCAGCUGCAAUAGUUCGGGCUCUUGCAUUGGAGGAUUACUGUAAAUUGCAGCCUGACAAUUACAAUACGCAGGGCACCGGCGAGUUAUUAAUGGGCUCGCCUACUGAUGGCCUUUCAGCGCAGCCUCGGACCUGCUGAGACUCAGCCUAAUUAGAUCCAGGGGUAGCGGCCCCUGUGGAUGAGGCUCCUAUUUACCCUUCAAAGCCUCCGGCCCCCUCCUCCAGGAGACCUUCCAGUGCCUCUGCCCUGGCAUUCUGCCUCCAGAGCCUGCACGCCCACCCACUCCGCUGCAGGGGACGGGGAAGCACCUGAACAUCCGGCCGACCGGCCAGAACCCAGUUUGCACCCCAAGGAAGGGGUGUCACAAGGAGUGAAGGCAGUGCUGGGUUCUGGGGAAGAGCUCGGACCCGGGACGUCUGUUGGGUGCCAGUGCUGGAUGGUUGAAGGGCUAGGAAUGCUGGCCCAGAAGGAUUCCUGAUUUGACAUAAUGUGAUAAGGAAACUCCAGGAUCCCAUCAGCCUACAGCCUACCUUGGUCCGUGAGUUCUGAACAGGUUGGUGGUUGCCCCGUAGCCCCCAAACGGGAAAAUCCAUACACUCCAGCCUCCCCACACACUUCCACUGUCAUGGCCCCAGUCUCCCUGCCCCUGCUCUGUUGAACAAUCGUCCGUCUCCACCUGGGCUGCCCUGCCCAGCUCUCAAGGCAGCCCCUCCUCUGAGAAGCCUUCCUGGAUUCCUCAUCUUGGUAGAACUAUUUCCCGAGUCACAUGUUAUCAGUCUUACUCUGCGUUCCUGGAGCCCUACCUUGAGCCACUGGGGGCUGGGUCUCAGGAUCAUCUCUGUAUGGCCCAGGGCAGCCCCAGGCUGUUGAAUGAGAAAGCAAAACAGAGGAACAGAUCCCAAAGCGUCAUCCACAAGUUUCGGAAGUUAGGUUGCUUGAUUUUUGUUUUUAAUUAGGACUUGGAACUGUUGAAUACUUAUUUGGCAAUGAGUACCUUUAUUAAGUAACUGAUAAGCAUAGUAAUCAAGGGUAUCUUAUUUGGCUGCUGAACAUCUACUACGCUACGGAUUUUGUGGAGGUUGGUGGCUCCUGCCAUGGAGGUGGUACCAGUCCAGGUGGGGAAAUGGUGCACAGAGGCAAACAGAACAACGUAGUGAGAAGAAACUCACACCUGGACCGAAGAGAAAGAGGUGGUUGGAGGUGGGGGAUGGAGACGGAGGGGUGAUGGAGAUGGAUGUAGGGAGAUGGGGGUGAUGGA